UACGUAGGGGGCAAGCGUUAAUCGGAAUUACUGGGCGUAAAGCGUGCGCAGGCGGUCUUGCAAGACAGAUGUGAAAUCCCCGGGCUCAACCUGGGAACUGCAUCUGUGACUGCAAGGCUGGAGUGCGGCAGAGGGGGAUGGAAUUCCGCGUGUAGCAGUGAAAUGCGUAGAUAUGCGGAGGAACACCGAUGGCGAAGGCAAUCCCCUGGGCCUGCACUGACGCUCAUGCACGAAAGCGUGGGGAGCAAACAGG
RNAcentral lists this ribosomal RNA (253 nucleotides) under uncultured bacterium. RNAcentral's name for it is "partial 16S ribosomal RNA". It matches the Rfam family "Bacterial small subunit ribosomal RNA", at positions 524 to 776 of the family's 1533-position model. The record is from RNAcentral.